Coturnix japonica (Japanese quail) is the source of this 430-nucleotide long non-coding RNA. Lineage: Eukaryota; Metazoa; Chordata; Aves; Galliformes; Phasianidae. The record is from Ensembl.
CUUAAAGAAUCACAGGCUGUAGAACAGUUCACAGUUGAAGUGCUGUAUGAAUAACUGAAAAGUCCCACUUGGGAUUUAAUCAUUUUUUACUACAGAAGUCAGGUAUGAACUGCAGCAGAUAAACCUACUGCAAAAUUGCAGAGACGGAAGGUAGGACAUCUGCAGAAUGGGAAGAUGGCUCCUCCUUCCAGAAAGUUACUCAGAGCCAGCAACAUCAGAUGGAGAGCUGUAAUCUGAAGGGUCCUGUAACAAAGUGCCCCAAGCAUACUUUCAGUAAAAGGCUUGAUUCUACCACCUUUUUGGCUUGAGUUCUACACAGUGGUACAUGAUUUCCUGUAUCAUGAGUGAUAGCUUAUUUGUAGAGAAGGUGGUAUUUGAAACUCUUUUGUACUACAGCUCAGAUAAAUACUUGAACAGAUUCACAGAAUGA